GACAGGUGGCCGAGUGGCUAAAGGCAACAGACUGUAAAUCUGUCGAGCUCCGCUCUACGAAGGUUCGAAUCCUUCCCUGUCC
RNAcentral lists this transfer RNA (82 nucleotides) under bovine gut metagenome. It matches the Rfam family "tRNA". Rfam says of the family: Transfer RNA (tRNA) molecules are approximately 80 nucleotides in length. Their secondary structure includes four short double-helical elements and three loops (D, anti-codon, and T loops). The record is from RNAcentral.